This 635-nucleotide ribosomal RNA is filed under the name uncultured bacterium. Its description in RNAcentral is "bacterial SSU rRNA". It matches the Rfam family "Bacterial small subunit ribosomal RNA", at positions 51 to 674 of the family's 1533-position model. The record is from RNAcentral.
ACACAUGCAAGUCGAGGGGCAUCAGUUUGGUUUGCUUGCAAACCAAAGCUGGCGACCGGCGCACGGGUGAGUAACACGUAUCCAACCUGCCUCAUACUCGGGGAUAGCCUUUCGAAAGAAAGAUUAAUAUCCGAUAGCAUAUAUUUCCCGCAUGGGUUUUAUAUUAAAGAAAUUCGGUAUGAGAUGGGGAUGCGUUCCAUUAGUUUGUUGGGGGGGUAACGGCCCACCAAGACUACGAUGGAUAGGGGUUCUGAGAGGAAGGUCCCCCACAUUGGAACUGAGACACGGUCCAAACUCCUACGGGAGGCAGCAGUGAGGAAUAUUGGUCAAUGGACGCGAGUCUGAACCAGCCAAGUAGCGUGAAGGAUGACUGCCCUAUGGGUUGUAAACUUCUUUUAUAUGGGAAUAAAGUGGUCCACGUGUGGACUUUUGUAUGUACCAUAUGAAUAAGGAUCGGCUAACUCCGUGCCAGCAGCCGCGGUAAUACGGAGGGUCCGAGCGUUAUCCGGAUUUAUUGGGUUUAAAGGGAGCGUAGGCGGAUUGUUAAGUCAGUUGUGAAAGUUUGCGGCUCAACCGUAAAAUUGCAGUUGAUACUGGCAGUCUUGAGUGCAGUAGAGGUGGGCGGAAUUCGUGGU